GGUGAUCUGCUGAGAUGCUGCCUGACCCUACCGCCUAACUCGAAGCAGUAUUUGUGGCUGAAGAAGGCCAUGACAGGUAGUGAUUCAGGAAUGAGGCUAUCAAUGAGUACCAUCAGUGCAGCACUGGAAGCUUGGAAUUGCUCGAUGCUGAUCCAUACUGGCUUAGAAAGAAAUUCUACUGGAGAAAGAGAGCUUGAAAACAUGCUCCCAGGCCUUAGCAUGGCUGCAGACACCCAAUUGGGUUAUUACAUUAUGAUAUGAGACACCUGGCACCUUGCCCUUGGAGACUGGCCAUUCCAUCGAAUAUGGUCUCUUGGGGACUAGACACCAAAUAGUGUGAGGCGACUGCAAGAGGCUGUAGAGUUGGUUGAAGGUGAACAACGACAUCAUAGCAAACGGUGAGGAAAAUGGAUUCUUCCCCAAAUGUUACCAUCCAGGUGUCUUGAUCAGGUUAAUUUUCUCCGUCGAUUAAAGAAUGAGAAGACA
Long non-coding RNA from Peromyscus eremicus (cactus mouse), 486 nucleotides. RefSeq lists it as uncharacterized. NCBI's taxonomy places the organism in Eukaryota, Metazoa, Chordata, Mammalia, Rodentia, Cricetidae. The record is from RefSeq and is a predicted model, not a curated record. The transcript has 3 exons.